Non-coding RNA from Peromyscus maniculatus bairdii (prairie deer mouse), 784 nucleotides. NCBI's taxonomy places the organism in Eukaryota, Metazoa, Chordata, Mammalia, Rodentia, Cricetidae. The record is from RefSeq and is a predicted model, not a curated record.
CUCAUCUGGGGGAGAAACAAACAACCUCAGCACAAGAAAUCUGCUGGGAAGACUCGGGGAAGAAAGGCAAAGAGACAGACGGCUCAGAAACCAGCCCCGGUUUCGUGGCUGGAAGUGCACAGAGAAGCUGACAGUGUGACCCGUGUGCCCGGCUCCCUCACUGAUCCUGGCCUGCAAAACAAAGCAAAAUGAUCGGAUCUGGGGUGAUAUCGAAUCCAGCAGGUCUCUCUCAGGAGAUGGAGGCUAAGAUACAGGGCGCUUUUCUUCCCACCGCUGGGCCCAGGAAUAACGGGGAAAUUAUUUUAUAUUUGAAUACAAGACUGGCAAGAGAGGCCCCUUAGCCAGCCACCGCUGAGGACCAGUGACUUCGACGUCCGGUGAACACAAGAGGUCUGGACUUGAGCUCACCUUCAAGCUGAGUGUACAAGGCCUCUUUGAAACCUAAGUGAAUUCUGUGAUGGGCUUGAGUCCCGUCCUCAAGCUGUAUCAUCACGGUCAUGCCAAUACUGCAGCGUCUGAGGUUCAAAAUAUGACUCUCCAGGAUUUCAGACAAGGGAUGUCCUAUUGGUACUCAGAACACUGGCUUGUGAUACCCAAUGUCUGCCAUGCAAACACCUGCUGCUCUUUAUUGAGGUUAAACACCGAUGAAAGCCCUAUUUCCCCACCCGCACCUGGUCCUGGAGAAGUGUCACAUGGCUGAGAUCUACACAUUGACUGACAGGAACCCACACGUAGGCCAGAAGAGGGCACCAGAUCUCACAGAUGGUUGUGAGCCACCAUGUGG